This is a small nucleolar RNA of Symphalangus syndactylus (siamang), 141 nucleotides long. RefSeq annotates it as small nucleolar RNA SNORA74. The record is from RefSeq and is a predicted model, not a curated record. Lineage: Eukaryota; Metazoa; Chordata; Mammalia; Primates; Hylobatidae.
AGGAAGGAAGGGCACUGUCUUAAUUGAGGCUUGGCUCCGGGUGCUGUUUUAGUGUGGGGCCAAGUACCUUUGGGCAGUGUUUUGCACCUCUGAGAGUGAAAUGACUCCCGUGGAGUCGGUCCUAAUCUGAGUGCAAACAAU